Molecule: ribosomal RNA, 494 nt
Filed under: uncultured bacterium
Lineage: Bacteria
Description: partial 16S ribosomal RNA
Rfam family: Bacterial small subunit ribosomal RNA
Source: RNAcentral
GACGAACGCUGGCGGCGUGCUUAACACAUGCAAGUCGAACGGAAAGGCCUGCUUUCCCUUGUGGAUUGCGGGUACUCGAGUGGCGAACGGGUGAGUAACACGUGAGUGAUCUGCCCCCAACUUGGGUAUAAGCCUGGGAAACUGGGUCUAAUUCCCGAUAGGACUGCAGGGUGGUGCCUGUGGUGGAAAACGAUUUUCUAGUGGUUGGGGAUGAGCUCGCGGCCUAUCAGCUUGUUGGUUGGGUAAUGGCCUACCAAGGCGGGGACGGGUAGCCGGCCUGGGGGGGUGGACGGCCACAGUUGGACUGAGAUACGGCGCAGACUACUACGGGAGGCAGCAGUGGGGAAUAAUGCGUGAGGGGCGGAAGACUGAUGCAGCGACGCUGCGUGGGGAAUGACGGGCUUCGGGUUGUAAACUCCUUUCGGCCGAGAGGAAGCCACCUGGUUGGAAGGGUGGUGACGGUAGUGGUAGAAGAAGCACCGGCUAACUACGUG